AAUUUAGUAUAAAUAUGUGUCAUGCAAUAUUUGGGACAUACUUAUACUAAAA
Molecule: non-coding RNA, 52 nt
Organism: Pongo abelii (Sumatran orangutan)
Lineage: Eukaryota; Metazoa; Chordata; Mammalia; Primates; Hominidae
Source: Rfam